GUGUUUUUAAAAACAUUAUGCUUUCUUUUCAACAAGUAAAAAUAAAUAAAUAGGCGGUACAUUUAUGUGUAAUCCAAUUGAUAAUAUUUCUUAAGGUGUGCACUUAAUUUAUUGACUGUAUCAUAGUGUAUCCCUCGUGAAAAUGGAUCUAUUUAAGUACACGGACGAGUUAUCUGAAAUCACCCGACAAAUAGAACAAAGAUAAAAUCACUCUGGUCUAUCGUCCGAUUUGAUGAGGUAACGGACUGAGUGGGAUGAUUAUUCAAUGUUUUAAAUAUUGCGUACACAUGUAGUGUAUAAAAUCAAUUGCAUAUGUCAAUGACGGCAGUGAUUUAAAUGGACGUUUGCUCGGGACCAGAUGGACGCUGAAAAGGUCAUAGUAUGAUCAAAACCGACAAAAUGGAAGGGAAGGUUUCAAACAACAUCACAACCAAAAGUGGCACGAGUGAGCAGGAAACACUGGUUUCGUAUACAAAUAGAGGAAACACACAAAGGGUUCCCGAAUACUUUGCUCUCUUAUCUAUCCGGAUGACGCACGUAUUGAACGACAUCGGAGUCGAAAGACGAACUGUUAUGAAGCGAAGAAGAACGUUUUUGUGGUUAGAGAGAUGCGCACAGAUAAUUGGUUGUUUACACGGUAGCAACAUGGAGUGUUUCCAUUUUGGGAGUCAGUCAGAGGGGACUACCACACCCGGUCUUCUGUCCGAUAUUGAUAUUUUAUAUGGCAGAAACGAGGUAAAUAUCAUGACAGACUGGGAAUAUUGGAAGGCUGAGAUGAUGAACCUUUUGAUGCUCAAAUGCGACAAUUCACCUCCACAACAGUACCUGUUACAGCUCAUAAUGAGUGACAGGCCAGUUCCAGAGACUCGUCUGUUUGAUAAAAUGCUUGUGAAGAAUGGGCCUGAGCAGCUCCUUUUUAGCUCGGAACAAUUUAAAAACAGUGUUGAACGUAUUCAUGAGAAUAGAGGAACAAUAAAGAAAGAAGGACCGUCAGUGAGCUUUCUCACUGAGUGGGAUAUAGUACAUGCCUUUUACACUCGCGAGCCUCUUCCUGAAAUACAACACUGGAUAGGCAGAUGCCAAGGUAGACGCUGGCCUUCUCCGAAGCUAUUAGAAGCUGCACGGGUAACUGCGUGUUUUUUGGUACCCGCAGGUCAUCCAGACAGUGUUUACCGAAAUGAAGAAUGGCGACUGUCUCCGAACUUAGUGGAACGCAUGUUGAUGUUUAGUUUUAACACGGCCCAGAUAAAAUGU
Molecule: long non-coding RNA, 1254 nt
Organism: Dreissena polymorpha
Lineage: Eukaryota; Metazoa; Mollusca; Bivalvia; Myida; Dreissenidae
Exons: 3
Source: RefSeq, a predicted model, not a curated record